GCCCUCGUAGAUCAGCGGUAGAUCGUCUUCGCUUCUUUCGAUAUCGAAUAUGAAAAGGUUGGAGGAAGGUGCGGGUUCGACUCCCGCCGAGGGCA
Molecule: non-coding RNA, 95 nt
Organism: Mycena latifolia
Lineage: Eukaryota; Fungi; Basidiomycota; Agaricomycetes; Agaricales; Mycenaceae
Source: the annotation of a GenBank genome assembly